Long non-coding RNA from Ictalurus punctatus (channel catfish), 744 nucleotides. Lineage: Eukaryota; Metazoa; Chordata; Actinopteri; Siluriformes; Ictaluridae. The record is from Ensembl.
CACAAGCACCCAAAUGGCAGAAUGCAGAAGACUGAAGUGGAUGGAAGCCCACAUCUUGGUCUGUUUGCUUUAACAGACUUUAAAGAAGGUGAUGAAAUUACCUGCAAUUACAGAGGAGGAGACUGGCCUUGGUGUAGCAAGAUUUUCUAAAUGUCUAUUAAAUAUGCAGAUUAUGGAGGAGGACACUGCUGAGAGCAAUGGCCAGGAGAAACAGCAGCCAUCACAGUCUACACCUUUUCUGGAUCAUAAAUAUCAGAAUUGUGUAGCUUGCUGGCACUUUUAAUCCUGCCUUUCAAUCACGCCUCUCCAUAAUUUCCAACAUAAGCAUCCCCUGGGACUCAGUAGGUUCCCUACUGCAUCUUCUCCAAGAAAACCGAGUACUCUUAGUUACUAUUUGGUACAUAUGCACAAACUGCAGUCAGAGUUUUCAUUCGUGAGACGUGAAAUGUAAAACAUCUGCUCUGAUAAAGAGGAAGGCUCGGGAAGGAAAUGAGGUCCAUGCAGUGAAGAGACAUAUGAAGACCUUCAUCAUGUCAUGUCGUGUCCCAGGGAAGUUGGCCUGUGAAAACUGCAUUAGAUCUGAGUCUUUAUAUCUUAAAGAUAGAGACUGGCAAAGUGUCAAAUUCUAUGUCUAUAACUGCACUGUAGCUUACAAAAGAGAUAUAAACAAAGAUUAAAUAACACUUUGAUAGUAACACUGUACAUCUAUAUUACAGAUACUGUACAUCAUAACAUCUGUAGUAA